RNAcentral lists this ribosomal RNA (301 nucleotides) under uncultured bacterium. RNAcentral describes it as "partial 16S ribosomal RNA". It matches the Rfam family "Bacterial small subunit ribosomal RNA", at positions 509 to 807 of the family's 1533-position model. The record is from RNAcentral.
CAGUCGCCGCGGGAAUACCGAGGGUGCAAGCGUUAAUCGGAAUUACUGGGCGUAAAGCGCGCGUAGGUGGUUUGUUAAGUUGGAUGUGAAAUCCCCGGGCUCAACCUGGGAACUGCAUCCAAAACUGGCAAGCUAGAGUAUGGUAGAGGGUGGUGGAAUUUCCUGUGUAGCGGUGAAAUGCGUAGAUAUAGGAAGGAACACCAGUGGCGAAGGCGACCACCUGGACUGAUACUGACACUGAGGUGCGAAAGCGUGGGGAGCAAACAGGAUUAGAUACCCCGGUAGUCCCUGUCUCUUAUAC